Long non-coding RNA from Chiroxiphia lanceolata (lance-tailed manakin), 178 nucleotides. RefSeq lists it as uncharacterized. Lineage: Eukaryota; Metazoa; Chordata; Aves; Passeriformes; Pipridae. The record is from RefSeq and is a predicted model, not a curated record. The transcript has 3 exons.
UAUAUUCUUUCUCUCUAGAAGAUACAACGACUCCCUGAAACAACAUCUCAGCCUUGGCUGUAUUGAUCAACAUAACCAGUCUACUCCGGCCUCCAAUCGGGAGGUCUGGAGACACACCAUCUAUAACGCUGCUGCUUCCUUUGAGAUCGCAUGCAGGAUCACUCUUGAGGAGAAAAGA